Molecule: long non-coding RNA, 820 nt
Organism: Biomphalaria glabrata
Lineage: Eukaryota; Metazoa; Mollusca; Gastropoda; Planorbidae
Exons: 3
Source: RefSeq, a predicted model, not a curated record
AAUUUUAAAUUUUAGCAAAGACCUUUGUCUUGACUUCAUAAUCGGUGAACAAAAUACAAAGGUUGGCCUCCUUGUGUACACACCAGCGGCUGAAUAUCUCUUUCAUCUGAAUAGCUACGUAAAAAAGAAAGAUUUGUUGGAAGCCAUUGACUCUGUAUCAAAGUGCCAAGCGUUACCAACCAGAAGCCCACACUUUCUAACGCGUCUUCGGUCCAUGUUUAUAGUGGAGAAUGGCGAUCGUAAAGCUGUUACCAACGUGGUUCUAAUGAUUAUUUUAGAAGCUUUACUUAUCAACAUGACUGAUUUUAAACGUGAAACAGAUCUGGCCAUGAAAGAAGGAAUAUCUAUUUAUAUAUACAAUUUUCGUUGGUUUAAAUCACAUCAAUAUUUUAAAUGACUUUGUCACGCGACCAGUAGAAGACAAAACAUUCAUGAUAAAGGGUCUCUCAGAAUGGAAGGAAGUCAGUAAAAAAAUUGUUACCGUUUUAGGUUCCAUGACACAUCAGUCUGAGAGAAAUUUUGUAACUUCUAAAAAACUGACAAACAGGCAUGGACUUCCCAGAGUGUUCUAUCCCAAGUGACACCAGUCCUUUCCUACCUAAAUACACUACAGACCAUCGACACACUUCCCAGUGCCGGCCCAAGUCCUCAACACAGUUCAUAUAUAGCACACAGAAUGUUCUCUCAAGUCAAGACAGCCCAGAAUGCAAUCACUUUAGCCGGAUCCACAACAGUCCUUCUUCAUGUCUUAUAUCAACAUGUCUUCUCAUGUGUUCAAUGGUGUUCUCAUGUGUUCAAUGGUGUUCUCAUGUGUUCUCAU